This 235-nucleotide long non-coding RNA is filed under the name Salvia miltiorrhiza (redroot sage). Its description in RNAcentral is "long non-coding RNA (SMIL_LNC008863)". Lineage: Eukaryota; Viridiplantae; Streptophyta; Magnoliopsida; Lamiales; Lamiaceae. The record is from RNAcentral.
GGAGAUUUCAGGGGCCCUAGGCGAAAUGGGAAAAAAAUGAUUGUGUGCUUAUGAACCGUUUUUUUAAAAUGAAAUAAAAUUGGAGCCUUUGAACUUAAUGUAUUUUUUACUGAUUGGGGCCCAAUGUGUGACUAAAAAAAUCUUAUUUCUAUAUAGCAAUAAAAAUAAAAAUAAAAAAUCGGGGCCCCAUUUUGCCCUGGGCCCUAGGCGGUUGCACCCCUCGCCUAUGCCCAGG